AGAACAAGGAAAAGAGACUUGUUGGAGGGACUGGAGGGAGGAUGGUCUGACUGAGGCAUGGGUGAGAGUGCCUUCACACAGGUUUGACUUUCCUGGUUCAAGUCUCCUCUUGGAACCAAAGGGGAAAGCACUCAGGCUAUCAACUUGCUCAGAUGUAGAGCAGAGUAAAGGGUGAGGCACAAAAGAUGUCAGCAAUGAAUGUCACAAAAUGAAUUAAGAUUCUGUUCUUGAAAGGAUUUGUUUAUUGCAUGAGAGAGAGAGAGAGAAGCCAGAACAUCACACUGGCACAUGGGAAUCAAACAGGGAGCCCCAGACGUGUUAGUCAGUGCUCUACCCAUCCCCUGGAUUCCGAUUCUUGUUUUUUGGUGUUUUUUUUAAGUAUUUAUUUUAUUUAUUUAUUCCCUUUUGUUGCCCUUGUUGUUUUAUUGUUGUAGUUAUUACUGUUGUUGUCAUUGUUGGAUAGGACAGAGAGAAAUGGAGAGAGGAGGAGGAGAGAAAAAUAGACACCUGCAGACCUGCUUCACCGCCUGUGAAGCGACUCCCCUGCAGGGAGCCGGGGUUCGAACCAGGAUCCUUAUGCUGAUCCUUGUGCUUUGCGCCACCUGCGCUUAACCCACUGCGCUACAGCCCGACUCCCCCGAUUCUUGUUUUAUACAACACCAGUAUAUGAUCAACAGGCCUGGAGAGAGCUUACCAGUCUUGUGUUAUCGUGUGUGCAAUCCAAGUUUAAGCCCCGGCACCAUGUGAGAGUACUAUGAUACUGGGGACAACUCUAGAGCUGUGUUCUUUCUCUCUGCCCCACCUUGUCCCCCCUCAGCCUUUUUGUGUCUAUUUGAAUAAAACACUUGGCCCAGAAACGAUGAAAUGGUGUGUGUGGAGACUCUUCCUCUGCAAAAUAAUGAUGAUGAUGAUGAUAGUGGUGGUGAUCCAAAAGAGAAAAAAGAUGUUUAUGGAGCCAGGUUGUUGUGUGGGUACUGGGGAUGGAGGUGAAGUCUCUAGUGCAAGGCAGAGUUAGCCUGACAGAAUAGCACUGUGGGUGGAUGGCAGAUCUGUAGGGACAGAAGCACAGAGAUUUGGAGAGACGGCAGUAGAAAUAUGAAGACAUUCUCCCUGGCACCUUUCGUGCUGUUAAAUGAGGAACCGACUCAUCAGUUGAGUAAGGAGAGUACAGAGGGUCAGAGGGCAUGAGACGAGAGAGAUAUGCAAACGUCAUCUCACAGCACUUAAGAAAGAACUGUCAUAGAGACACUUGAGGUUUUGCUCAUAAACUUAAAAGUUGGCUGUCCACCAUAGCUGCCUUUAUGGUGUCCCCUGCCAGUUCAUUGGAGUAAUGGUUGAAUUUCACAGGGUCAUGUUUUUACCAAGUGAUUUUUACCACGCCUGGCUUCCCCCGAAAGCAGCCUGAGACUUACAGACUAUUCUUACAGUGACAAGGAGGCAAGCAGGAGGCAGGGAAAGUGGAGAAGCCAGCGUGAGGAUAAGAUCAUGUUUGUAGUCUUUUGCUGUUUUGUUUGUUUGUAGUCUUCAUAACCACUGAAGUAUAUGUUUGGUCUGGGGGCAGGGGACUGAGUUGCCAGGGUAUACUGGGUGAACUGUCUUAAGUGGAUAUUGAAAGUACCAGAAGUGAUAACAAUCAGGCUCAGAUCAUCAGAUUUCCUGCAAGCUUUGACUUGCCUACCCACCCUUUCUUUACACAGCUGGAUGCUUCACACAGCGAGGAGAUAAACUCUCUAGUCCUUACUGGCACUCCUCACUGGUGCCAGAGAGAUUCUGACCCCCUGUCCCAUGUGUGUUAGUCCUCCAAGUCUCUCCUCCCAUAGAUUCAAUUUCCCAGAGCCUCCUGUAUUUGGCAAUCUGUUAUUCCUGUAAUAAAUUCCUUAGUUCCCUAAUUCUUUGCUUCCUGACGAGUACAGUCUGAUGGAGGAGACACAGUGGUGAGCAGGCACUUGUAAACCAGCAUCAAAAGUGCUAACUUCACCAGCUGUAGCAACACCUGGAAGGUGAAGGACAUACUGGCAUCACAAGUGGCUCCAGACUCAGCCAGAUGAAGACUGUUUAAGACAAAGAAUGGAGUUAGGUUCUUCCAGGCCUGGAGGAGCCAAGAGCCAAGGUGAAGCUGGAGAGGGAAGUUGCACAUCUAACCUCUCAUCAGUAGUUUCACAGGAAUUUUCACAGGUUCACCCCAGAAUUUCCUUUCACUUGUACAACACUGCAUAGAUGGCCUGGUGUGUCAAGCCCAACAUCAGUGACACCUGAAGAGCACUCACUCUCCCAAGUGGAAGAAGACCUCCAGCUACCUGCCCUUAGUUCCCACGGCAUCUAGAGUGGCUGCAGAGGUCGCUUGCCGAAUGUGUGUGUUACCUGAAAUGAGCUAGGUUUUCAAGUGGCUUAUUGCCAAGUGGAUUGGAAAGGCAAAAAUAUCAUCAAAGACCCUGAGAUGCUAUCAGAACAUUACAAGAAAAGACUUGGAAAGUAUGCAUGGCUAGGAAGCCAAGAGGACCUUUAAUCCAAUGAAUGUGGAGCCAAAAGUAUUUUAAAGGGGAGAGAAUGAAAUCAGCCUCUUCCAUAAAACCAUCUCCUCGUUUUCCAGUUUAUUUCCACGACAAACAAGCUAGAAGUUACAUGGGAUUUAAUUGGCAAGGGUGCAGGAACAAUUGAUUGCUCCCAAGACCACAGAAAACAGCAAGAUCUAAAGAACCAAAAACUAAAAUUUCAUGAAGCCAGAAUGAACAACAAAUUAAAUACAACAGAUGCUCAAGCCACAGUCAGGAGCCAAGGAGAAUGCACAAACUCAGCAUCCUGUAGAGCAAAAGAUCACUGAAUCACAAGCAAGGUCCUAGUCUUAUGCUUUCUUUUGUUUUGCUUGUAGAAACUGGUCAGGCUGUGGAGCAUGGGCUGACAGCCAAAUUUUAAGGUCCAGAGUUGAAACUGACUCCACUCUCUCAAAUGUAGAGUGGAGUUGGUAUUUUCCACGAGGGGUAGCCCUUUGGGAAGUUGAAACACAUUCCAGGAUAUAGUUGAGGUAAAAGCAUAUGCACCCCCGCCCAGCAAGAGCUCAUCUAAAUACACAUAAGUACUUGAACUAAGCUGGGCUCAAGGCAGUCAAAUGCUUUUCCACUCUGUGCCUAGUUCCUACCUCAAAGGAGAAGAGUGGGGGGUGGGGGGUCAGGCUUUCAGCUGACCGGGUGAAGCAAGGAAGUGGUGGAAAUGGGAAAGAAAACCAUGGACAGGGAGUCGGGCGGUAGUGCAGCAG
Erinaceus europaeus (western European hedgehog) is the source of this 3253-nucleotide long non-coding RNA. RefSeq lists it as uncharacterized. The record is from RefSeq and is a predicted model, not a curated record. The transcript has 3 exons. NCBI's taxonomy places the organism in Eukaryota, Metazoa, Chordata, Mammalia, Eulipotyphla, Erinaceidae.